UACGUAGGGGGCAAGCGUUGUCCGGAUUUAUUGGGCGUAAAGAGCGUGUAGGCGGCCACACAGGUCUGCUGUGAAAACUCAAGGCUUAACCUCGAGCUGUCGGCGGAAACCAUCUGGCUAGAGUCCGGAAGAGGAGAGUGGAAUUCCUGGUGUAGCGGUGAAAUGCGCAGAUAUCAGGAAGAACACCCGUGGCGAAGGCGGCUCUCUGGGACGGUACUGACGCUGAGACGCGAAAGCGUGGGGAGCGAACAGG
RNAcentral lists this ribosomal RNA (253 nucleotides) under uncultured bacterium. Its description in RNAcentral is "partial 16S ribosomal RNA". It matches the Rfam family "Bacterial small subunit ribosomal RNA", at positions 524 to 776 of the family's 1533-position model. The record is from RNAcentral.